This 253-nucleotide ribosomal RNA is filed under the name uncultured bacterium. RNAcentral's name for it is "partial 16S ribosomal RNA". It matches the Rfam family "Bacterial small subunit ribosomal RNA", at positions 524 to 776 of the family's 1533-position model. The record is from RNAcentral.
UACGGAGGGUGCAAGCGUUAAUCGGAAUUACUGGGCGUAAAGCGCACGUAGGUGGUUUGACAAGUUGGGUGUGAAAUCCCCGGGCUUAACCUGGGAACUGCAUUCAAAACUAUCAGACUAGAGUAGAGUAGAGGGAAGUGGAAUUUCCGGUGUAGCGGUGAAAUGCGUAGAUAUCGGAAGGAACACCAGUGGCGAAGGCGGCUUCCUGGACUCAUACUGACACUGAGGUGCGAAAGCGUGGGGAGCAAACAGG